Long non-coding RNA from Pseudopipra pipra, 830 nucleotides. RefSeq lists it as uncharacterized. The transcript has 2 exons. The record is from RefSeq and is a predicted model, not a curated record. Lineage: Eukaryota; Metazoa; Chordata; Aves; Passeriformes; Pipridae.
CGGAGAGCUCAUUCAGGAAUGAAAUCCUGAAUUUUUUCAGACAAAAAUGGGAGCUGAAGCCAGGUCUCCCACACUUGAGAAAUGCUCUAAACACAACAUUGCUGCAUAAGAGCAGUGCAGAAGGAAGGACAACACCACCACAGUUGUUUUGGGGGUGGAAACAGGUGUUCAGAACCCAAAUGCAGCACAGCUCCUCAUAUGCAAGGUUACAAUAAAAGGACACCUACUCUUGGGGCACUGAGGCCAGGCCUAAGGCCUGAACUUUAGCUGAAUUUAAGUUACCAGUUCCCCUGGCUUUGCAGAGAGCUUGGAAGUAAGAAAGGGAAUUAACUGGAUUUUGAAAAGAGACCCAAGGAAGAAUUUGAGUGCUUGAGAGCUGGUGGGAAGGCACAGUGGAGUUGGCACCCUGUGGAUGGGCCUGUCUUUCUGGAAGCUCUAUCUCCCUUUGGGGGUUCUCCAUAUUCCCACUUUACCCCUAGCAUCAAGUCUUUUUCUUCACAGAAUUACUAGUAUUUCAGUCUCGUGACUUCUCAGCCAACAUUGUGAUUGUUUUUGAUGGACUGACUCAUGGCCCUUGCACACCAGGGCUGGAAUAAGGUGUCAGGAUGACACCGGGCAGUAGAUGGGAACAGUGCACAGAGACACGAGUUUGAUUGAUGAUGGCUCCAUGCUGCAUAUGCUCAGGAACUUCAGAAAGUGAUAGAAAGCACCUGGGAAAAGUCCACGUUGAAGGUCAGAGCUGACAGAACCUUUAUAUACGUGGGAAGAUGCCAGUGAAAGAGCAAUAACUUUUAGGAAGGCUACAAGAAGUAAAAAGCUGAAAAAUACAA